GAGCAAAAUCUGAAUCUCAGAU
This 22-nucleotide small nuclear RNA is filed under the name Arabidopsis thaliana (thale cress). RNAcentral's name for it is "snRNA_15456". Lineage: Eukaryota; Viridiplantae; Streptophyta; Magnoliopsida; Brassicales; Brassicaceae. The record is from RNAcentral.